Molecule: long non-coding RNA, 569 nt
Organism: Hippocampus comes (tiger tail seahorse)
Lineage: Eukaryota; Metazoa; Chordata; Actinopteri; Syngnathiformes; Syngnathidae
Exons: 3
Source: RefSeq, a predicted model, not a curated record
UAUCCUGGUUAUUGUUCCACCAUCAUUAUUUGUACUUUGUUGGCCUCACACCUCUUUUUUUUCAUUAAAUUUAUCUAGUUGACAACUAUCAGUCUACGUUUAUAGAGUCUGAUUCUGUCCGUAACCUUCCGGACAUUCUGACAGCCACGAUACAAAGAAAUCCUUUGUCUACUAAUUGAGAAAGCAUGGAACAGUGACAAACCUUCCCAGGAGUGGCCAUCUUCCAGAAAUUAUUUCAAGCCCAGCAACGACUCAUCCAGGAGGUCACAAAGAAACUCAAGACAAUGUCUAAAACACUGCAGACCUCCCUCGCUUCAUUUAAGAAGUUCGUCAGACAUGCAGUCCCACUGAGUUCAAGUCCACACUGAAGGAGAAGAACAGGAGACGUGAUGGGGUGUGUUGGUGACGUGAGGCGAUCCAUUCCCGGGUGGGUGGAGACUUCAAAGUAGAGAGUCGUGAUAUCAAGAACUGGAUGUCCGUCCAAAAUUGAUGAGAAGACGAGAAAAAAAAAACUUGUGGUCAGGGAGCCUCCAAAGAGGCUGACAGCAGCAUGAAAGGAGAUGAAGGAA